ACGAACGCUGGCGGCGUGCCUAAUCCCUGCAAGUCGAACGCUUCUUUCCUCCCGAGUGCUUGCACUCAAUUGGAAAGAGGAGUGGCGGACGGGUGAGUAACACGUGGGUAACCUACCCAUCAGAGGGGGAUAACACUUGGAAACAGGUGCUAAUACCGCAUAACAGUUUAUGCCGCAUGGCAUAAGAGUGAAAGGCGCUUUCGGGUGUCGUUGAUGGAUGGACCCGCGGUGCAUUAGCUAGUUGGUGAGGUAACGGCUCACCAAGGCCACGAUGCAUAGCCGACCUGAGAGGGUGAUCGGCCACACUGGGACUGAGACACGGCCCAGACUCCUACGGGAGGCAGCAGUAGGGAAUCUUCGGCAAUGGACGAAAGUCUGACCGAGCAACGCCGCGUGAGUGAAGAAGGUUUUCGGAUCGUAAAACUCUGUUGUUAGAGAAGAACAAGGACGUUAGUAACUGAACGUCCCCUGACGGUAUCUAACCAGAAAGCCACGGCUAACUACGUG
Molecule: ribosomal RNA, 507 nt
Filed under: uncultured bacterium
Lineage: Bacteria
Description: partial 16S ribosomal RNA
Rfam family: Bacterial small subunit ribosomal RNA
Source: RNAcentral